RNA transcript from Abrus precatorius (Indian licorice), 2066 nucleotides. It is a transcript of the gene named catalase-4, with no coding region annotated. The transcript has 9 exons. The record is from RefSeq and is a predicted model, not a curated record. Lineage: Eukaryota; Viridiplantae; Streptophyta; Magnoliopsida; Fabales; Fabaceae.
AUUAAAAAAAAAAAAAAAGAGAUAAAAAGGAGGUAGUCUUUAUAAGGCCGUAAGCCUCGCGAUUGUCACACGUUCGCCACUCUUCUCAAUCUCAUUCUCAUCCUCUUCUUUCUUUCAUCUUUCACUCUACCGUUUCCAUGGAUCCGUACAAGUACCGGCCAUCUAGCGCCUUCAAUUCGCCCUUCUGGACUACAAAUUCUGGUGCUCCUGUUUGGAACAACAACUCCUCUUUAACCGUUGGAACUAGAGGUCCUAUUCUCCUGGAGGAUUAUCAUCUUGUGGAAAAGCUUGCUAACUUUGACAGGGAGCGGAUCCCAGAACGUGUUGUCCAUGCUAGGGGAGCUAGUGCUAAGGGUUUCUUUGAGGUCACACAUGACAUUUCUCACCUGACGUGUGCAGAUUUCCUUCGAGCCCCUGGUGUUCAGACACCUGUAAUUGUCCGUUUCUCGACUGUCAUCCAUGAGCGUGGUAGCCCUGAAACCUUGAGGGAUCCUCGAGGUUUUGCUGUGAAAUUUUACACCAGAGAGGGUAACUUUGACCUUGUUGGAAACAACUUUCCUGUCUUCUUUGUACGUGAUGGAAUGAAGUUUCCAGAUAUGGUCCAUGCUCUUAAACCCAAUCCCAGGUCCCACAUCCAGGAGAAUUGGAGGAUCCUUGACUUCUUCUCUCACCAUCCAGAGAGCCUUCACAUGUUCACCUUUUUAUUUGAUGAUUUGGGUGUCCCACAAGAUUACAGGCAUAUGGAUGGUUCUGGAGUUAACACAUAUACCCUGAUCAACAAGGCUGGCAAAGCAGUGUAUGUGAAAUUUCACUGGAAGCCCACGUGUGGUGUAAAGUGUCUAUUGGAGGAAGAGGCCAUUAAGGUGGGAGGAUCCAACCACAGUCAUGCCACUCAAGACCUUUAUGAUUCUAUUGCUGCUGGUAACUAUCCAGAGUGGAAACUGUAUGUUCAAACAAUAGAUCCUGAUCAUGAAGACAAAUUUGACUUUGACCCACUUGAUGUCACUAAGACUUGGCCUGAGGACAUUAUACCCCUGCAGCCUGUUGGUCGCAUGGUCUUGAAUAAGAACAUAGAUAAUUUCUUUGCUGAGAAUGAACAACUAGCAUUUUGCCCUGCCAUUGUGGUGCCUGGUGUAUAUUACUCAGAUGAUAAGUUGCUUCAAACCAGGAUAUUCUCUUAUGCCGAUACCCAGAGGCACAGACUUGGACCAAACUAUCUGCAGCUUCCUGCUAAUGCUCCCAAGUGUGCUCACCACAACAAUCACCAUGAAGGUUUCAUGAAUUUCAUGCACAGGGAUGAGGAGGUGAAUUACUUCCCUUCAAGGUAUGAUCCUGUUCGUCAUGCCGAAAGGUUCCCCAUUCCUCCUGCUAUCUUCAAUGGAAGACGUGAAAGGUGUGUAAUUGAGAAGGAGAACAACUUCAAGCAGCCUGGAGAGAGAUACCGAUCUUGGGCACCUGACAGGCAAGAUAGAUUUAUCCGCAGGUGGUUUGAGGCUUUAUCUGACCCACGUGUCACCCAUGAGAUCCGCAGUAUCUGGAUAUCAUACUGGUCUCAGGCUGACCGUUCUCUUGGUCAAAAGAUAGCAUCUCAUCUCAACUUGAGGCCAAGCAUUUAAGGUUGUUGCCAACCCCGGAAUGAUUUUUAGGAGUUGCAGAUGUGCAAAGAGCAUGAUAAGUGCAAAAGAGUACGAUAAGGAUGUGGCUUUGGAUCAUUGAAAGGACUAGUCCUUUUCUUCCAAGAUUAUGUUGUGUACCAAUAACUCCAUGCAUAUUCUGACGAAUCUGACCUAAUCGGCUGGAAGUUCAGAUAACUCAAUGGGUCCAAAGCAGCAGCUUCAUAUCUGCGAAUGUUUUUCGGGUUGUUCAAAAGUCAAAAUGAGAUUCGAACCGCCCCAAAAAUGUCAAAAUGAGAUGUAGUUUGGCUUAUGUUGGUUGUGUUUGAUUGGAACGUCCAUUCUUCCUGGGAGGUAGCUUUGAGUCAUAAAUUCUUGCCAUUAUCAAAUUAACUCGUUUUGAUUGGGACAUGUAGCUACCAGAUAACAUUUAUGGCUUUAGUUGUUUUCAUG